AGUGAACGCUGGCGGUAGGCCUAACACAUGCAAGUCGAACGGCAGCACAGAGGAGCUUGCUCCUUGGGUGGCGAGUGGCGGACGGGGGAGGAAUACAUCGGAAUCUACUCUGUCGUGGGGGAUAACGUAGGGAAACUUACGCUAAUACCGCAUCCGACCUACGGGGGAAAGCAGGGGACCUUCGGGCCUUGCGCGAUUGAAUGAGCCGAUGUCGGAUUAGCUAGUUGGCGGGGUAAAGGCCCACCAAGGCGACGAUCCGUAGCUGGUCUGAGAGGAUGAUCAGCCACACUGGAACUGAGACACGGUCCAGACUCCUACGGGAGGCAGCAGUGGGGAAUAUUGGACAAUGGGCGCAAGCCUGAUCCAGCCAUACCGCGUGGGUGAAGAAGGCCUUCGGGUUGUAAAGCCCUUUUGUUGGGAAAGAAAUCCAGCUCCCUAAUCCCCGGUUGGGAUGACGGUACCCAAAGAAUAAGCACCGGCUAACUUCGUGCCAGCCGCCGCAGUAA
RNAcentral lists this ribosomal RNA (506 nucleotides) under uncultured bacterium. Its description in RNAcentral is "partial 16S ribosomal RNA". It matches the Rfam family "Bacterial small subunit ribosomal RNA", at positions 29 to 523 of the family's 1533-position model. The record is from RNAcentral.